This 305-nucleotide ribosomal RNA is filed under the name uncultured bacterium. RNAcentral's name for it is "bacterial SSU rRNA". It matches the Rfam family "Bacterial small subunit ribosomal RNA", at positions 335 to 639 of the family's 1533-position model. The record is from RNAcentral.
CGUCCUACGGGACGCAGCAGUGGGGAAUAUUGCACAAUGGGCGCAAGCCUGAUGCAGCGACGCCGCGUGCGGGAUGGAGGCCUUCGGGUUGUAAACCGCUUUUGUUCAAGGGCAAGGCACGGUCUUUAGCCGUGUUGAGUGGAUUGUUCGAAUAAGCACCGGCUAACUACGUGCCAGCAGCCGCGGUAAUACGGAGGGUGCAAGCGUUAUCCGGAUUUAUUGGGCUUAAAGGGCUCGUAGGCGGUUCGUCGCGUCCGGUGUGAAAUUCCAUCGCUUAACCGUGUAUCCGCGCCGGGUACGGGCGG